CAGUCGAACGCGAAAGGCCCCUUCGGGGGCCAAGUAGAGUGGCGUCCGGGUGAGUAACACGUGAGUAAUUUGCCUUCGGGUGGGGAAUAACAACCGGAAACGGUUGCUAAUACCGCAUAAUGCAGCGGCACCAAAUGGUGACAGUUGUUAAAGCGGGGGAUCGUAAGACCUCGCGCCUGAAGAGAAGCUCGCGGCGGAUUAGCUAGUUGGUAGGGUAACGGCCUACCAAGGCAACGAUCCGUAGCCGGCCUGAGAGGGCGGUCGGCCACACUGACACUGACACACGGGUCAGACUCCUACGGGAGGCAGCAGUCGGGAAUUUUGGGCAAUGGGCGAAAGCCUGACCCAGCAACGCCGCGUGAAGGAUGAAGUUUCUCGGAAUGUAAACUUCACAAGAACGGGAAGAAUAAGUCGCGGAUAAUACCCGGGACGAUGACGGUACCGUUUGUAAGCUCCGGCUAACUCCGUGCCAGCAGCCGCGGUAAUACGGGGGGAGCAAGCGUUGUUCGGAUUUACUGGGCGUAAAGGGCGCGUAGGCGGCGCAACAAGUCACUUGUGAAAUCUCCGGGCUUAACUCGGAGCGGCCAAGUGAUACUGUCGUGCUAGAGUGCGGAAGGGGCAACUGGAAUUCUCGGUGUAGCGGUGAAAUGCGUAGAUAUCGAGAGGAACACCUGCGGCGAAGGCGGGUUGCUGGGCCGACACUGACGCUGAGGCGCGAAAGCCAGGGGAGCGAACGGGAUUAGAUACCCCGGUAGUCCUGGCCUUAAACGAUGGAUGCUUGGUGUCCGAGGUUACAUAGUCCUCGGGUGCCGUCGCUAACGCCUUAAGCAUCCCGCCUGGGGAGUACGGUCGCAAGACUGAAAC
Molecule: ribosomal RNA, 864 nt
Filed under: uncultured bacterium
Lineage: Bacteria
Description: bacterial SSU rRNA
Rfam family: Bacterial small subunit ribosomal RNA
Source: RNAcentral